Pan troglodytes (chimpanzee) is the source of this 2338-nucleotide long non-coding RNA. RefSeq lists it as uncharacterized. The record is from RefSeq and is a predicted model, not a curated record. Lineage: Eukaryota; Metazoa; Chordata; Mammalia; Primates; Hominidae. The transcript is spliced from 3 exons.
AUUGUUUUAAUGCUUUGAUGAAGCUCAGCACGCUGCCGAAAUCUCGGCAGUAUUUUUUCUUUUCUUUUUGCAUGUGAGAGAAAGGACAACAAAUUGCAGUUUUAUCCAUUUGUAUUAUUUCUUUAGAAAACUCAACACUCUUUUUGUUGGAGGUGGGGAAAUGAGAAGGUGAUGUUUUGUUUUGCUUUUUUUCCUAUUUUUUUUUUUUAAAGGAGGAGAAGAUGACAGUGUUCUCCCUAAGGAUGAAGUUUGACUUUUGAAACAUAUCACAUGCUUAAAGCACGUUUGAGCUCCUGCAUGAACAGUAAGCUAGCAGAUGGUAGAAAUAUUCUUUAUUAAUUCAAAAAAUAUUUACUGCGGACCUACAAUGUGCCAAGCAUGUCUCCUGACACUGGGGAUAAGCAGUGAACAACAACAAAAAGACAAACUUCUUCCACCCUGAGGCGUAUGUUCUAGGUCUUUGUGGGAAGAAACAAAUCACAAAAGCAAUUAAGAGAGCUCAAACAAUGGGUUACUCUCAUCUGGAUUAUUGUAGUCACCUUGUCACUGGUAUCUCUGCUUUCUCCUAACCCCCAUCUAAUCUCCAAAAAAUCAGAGCAUGUCACUCCUGGCCCCCAAAUCCCCCCAAUGACUCUGCCCUCCCCACCCCACUCAGAAUUAAAGUCAAUGAUCUUUUUUUUUUUUUUUUUUUUUUGAGAUGGAUUCUUGCACUGUCACCCAGGCUGGAGUGCAGUACGUAGUGUGAUCUCAGCUCACUGCAACCUCUGCCUCCCAGAUUCAAGCGAUUCUCCUGCCUUAGCCUCCUGAGUAGCUGGGAUUACAGGUGUGCACAAUGCCUGGCUAAUUUUUAUAUUGUUAGUAGAGUUGGGGUUUCACCAUGUUGGCCAAGCUGGUCUCGAACUCCUGACCUCAGGUGAUCCACCCACCUUGGCCUCGCAAAGUACUGGGAUUACAGGCAUGAGCCACCAUGCCCAGCCUAAAGUCAAUGAUCUCACCACAGACCACAAGGCUACUUUGAUCCAACCAGCCCAUCUUAUAUACUACCACUUUCCAGUUUUCUCACAGUGCUCCAAUCACACUGGCCUUCUUUCUGGACUUUGAACGUGCCAAAUAUACUCUCCUUGAGGGACAGAGCACUUACUGCUACCUUUGUUUGGAAUGUUCUUUCCCAGAUACCCAUGUGGCACACCCGAAUGCUUGAGUGGCCCCUUAUUAGUGAGGCCUUCCUAUAGCAUUAUAUAUAAGAUGGAUGUAAGGUAGGACUCAGAACAUACUCCCUAUCCUCCUUACUCUACUUCACCUGACUCCAAACACUGUCACCAUCUGACGUAGUACAUAUUUUAUGUUUUAUUUGUUUAGCAUCUUUCUCCCUCUAACUAGAAUGCAAGCUCCAUGAGGACAGAGAUUUUUGUUUUGUUUACCGCCAUAUUGUCAGCAGCUAGAGCAAUUUCUGGCAUGUAGUAGCACUCAAUGAAUAUUAAUUGAAUAAAUGAGCUACCUAAAAAAUAACUGCAUUGAUAUCAUAACCCAAGUAGUGUCUGAAAUAAUGUAAUGAAUUACCAGAAUGCAAAUGAAUUAUUUUCCAGAUGUCUUUAAGUUGGGUGUUGGAAAGUCAAUAUGCAUUUUUCCUACAAAUAUAAAGUAAGUGCUAUUAUCCCCAUCUUAUGGAUAAGACAUCUGAUAUUUAGCUUAUGCAACUAUGCCCAUUUUCUGAUUUUGAGGCAAGUACCUCACCACUUAUACUAAAUUUCCAGGUCAGAUCAUAAAACCUUAUGUAAGCCAUAAAAUUCAGAUAUAAAGUAGUCUAAAAAAAGGAAGGACCAGAAUGGAAGAUACCUAUCUUACACACAAACAGCUGUAUCUAGAGUAUAGGUUUCUUAGCUUUCUAGAUGUUUCACCCAGUUAUAGCUGUUCUUUGAUAGUGAUACAGUGAUAGAGGCAGGAGGCAGAGAAAUUCUAGGCAGAUGGGAAGAUCCCUGGCGAAGCACCACCCUAAAGCUGAAAAGCUUGAAACCACUGCCUAAAGUGAGAACUUAUAUUCCCGUUUUCCUGCUUGAAUGUUGUCUUUUCCUAAACUACCCACAGCCUGCCCCACCCUAUCUUGUGCCUAUAAAGACCCCAGACUCAGCCAGCAGAGGGGAGAAACAGCUGGACAUCAGAGAGAAGCAGCCGGACUUCAGAGGGACAGCUUGAUGACAUAACUUUGGAGAAGAAUGCAGCCAGAGAUGGGUGGACUCCAGGGAAAGAUUACCUGCCGCCCCACCCUCUUUUCAGCUCCCCUUCCUGCUGAGAGCCACUUUCAUUGGCAAUAAAAUUCACUGCAUUUGCUAUCCUUCGA